RNAcentral lists this non-coding RNA (91 nucleotides) under Acidihalobacter prosperus. RNAcentral's name for it is "Glycine sequence". It matches the Rfam family "Glycine riboswitch aptamer". From Rfam's summary of the family: This family represents the bacterial glycine riboswitch. Lineage: Bacteria; Pseudomonadati; Pseudomonadota; Gammaproteobacteria; Chromatiales; Ectothiorhodospiraceae. The record is from Rfam by way of RNAcentral.
ACAAGCCCGCUUGGAGAGACCCCGCCGCUGGCGGGGCGCCGAAGGCGCAAACCGCCCGGAAACGCUCAGGCAAAAGGACACGCGGGCCGAU